AGAUAGUCCAGGUGCUUGUCCUUGAUGGUGUCUGUCUCCAUGGAGGAUAGUGGAUUCUGGAACCAGGAAGCCGGAGAGGGCACGUAAGUGCAAGACUUUCACUAUGGUAGACACUUAGAAGUGGGAUGACUGGAUCAUACCGGGUGUGAAGGUUCAUCUUUACAAGAUAGUGCCAAAUGGCUUGCCACAGUGGUGUACCAAUUCACGCUCGCACUAAUAGUCUCUUGGAGGAGAAGGGUGCCUGGGAAUUAAAUUAUUACACUGGGAAACUUGGUCAUUAUAAUUAAAAUGCCUAAAAGAUAAAUCUGCAUGCUCUUGCAAAGACCAUAGAAGAGAAAUAAGAGCCUUUAAGAUGAGCUCCUGUUUUUACCCUGUCUACUCAGCCACAAGUUUUCUGAAAUGCCUUAGUUCAUCCCUAAUGCAGUUUCUUUUGUUGACCAUCUGUACAGAAGCAAAGAUCUCAUUUGGAUUCUCCAAACUACAAAAUGAUAAGCUUGUAA
This 500-nucleotide long non-coding RNA is filed under the name Equus caballus (horse). RNAcentral's name for it is "lncRNA (ENSECAG00000053307.1)". The record is from RNAcentral. Lineage: Eukaryota; Metazoa; Chordata; Mammalia; Perissodactyla; Equidae.